RNAcentral lists this ribosomal RNA (253 nucleotides) under uncultured bacterium. RNAcentral describes it as "partial 16S ribosomal RNA". It matches the Rfam family "Bacterial small subunit ribosomal RNA", at positions 524 to 776 of the family's 1533-position model. The record is from RNAcentral.
UACAGAGGGUGCAAGCGUUAAUCGGAUUUACUGGGCGUAAAGCGCACGUAGGCGGCUUUGUAAGUUAGAGGUGAAAGCCUGGGGCUCAACUCCAGAACUGCCUUUAAGACUGCAUCGCUUGAAUCAUGGAGAGGCGGGUGGAAUUCCGAGUGUAGAGGUGAAAUUCGUAGAUAUUCGGAAGAACACCAGUGGCGAAGGCGGCCCGCUGGACAUGUAUUGACGCUGAGGUGCGAAAGCGUGGGGAGCAAACAGG